AGAGGGAGUAGUGCGAUCCUGCGCGCGGGGGAACUAGCUGGAGGGCAAGGCGGGAACACGCCACUGUGAGCAUGCAUUUCAGGUUGUUGGCGCAGCUCUGCUCCAUGAUGUCGAUCUGAAACCCAGAUUUUCCUUCUCUUGCCACUGUCAUCUCCUGCAUGGCCAAAGCUAGGUCACCAUCAUAGUCAUGUUUCAGCCUAUGGGAAGGGGGAAAGACAAUAUUCAAGCAUCUAUUGUUGGGGUGAUCGGACCUAACACCAGGUUGUGGGGACAACGAAGUCCAGAAGAGUGAAAGGAAUGAGAAAAGACAGUUUGAGAGAGAAAGUGGGCCCAGGGGGCCAAUGCGAGUAUGGAGGCUGUGAAGGCCCCGAGCCCUGGAAGCCCAGACUAUUUAUUGGUGAUCAAACAAAGAAACAGGAGUGAGUGAGAGAUGAGGACAUAACAUUCAGUCAUGGCGCUACAAAAGCUGUUUCCUAAAGCUUCGUUGAAUUGUGGUUGGAGGAUGUGGCCUGUGCAGAUUUUGCGUUGGUGUAUUUAUUAGUGUUUUCUUUGUGGCGGGGCUGUGUCAGUUUGCGUUGUUCUCAGUGCAAGUGCCUGAAAACCCAGCUGAGGGGCUUGAAUGACUAAGGGGCUGAUUUGUGCCCUACGACAAGUCCACAGGAGAAAGCCCAGGACCGCCUUGAAGGAAGCAGGCUCUUUCUGUUUUCCUGCUCUGCCAACUUAUGGAGAUGGUGCUGCUGCAUCUUGGGCAUCCUGUGUAUGGUCCAAGCAGGAAGGAAGAGGAACAGGGAGAGGAGGCACAUGUAGAUUUGUGUUUCUGUCUCUUUGGCAAGAACUGAACCAUAUGGGCACUGCCAGCCACAAGACAGCCUAGCUGGGCUUGUUUUCAGUUUUCUAAUCUCUAGCUUAGAGCAUAAAGUUUAUAAUGAUUGUUAGAUAGGCCAACCUAAUGAAUCUAGUACAAUAUCAAUUUUCAUAUAUGUAACAAAGAUACAGAAACUAUAUAUUUUUUGUAGGGGGUCCUUUGCUCUCCUAUAUUAAAAAUUAUUUAUGUCAUUGUUUAUUUUUUGCAUACUUGACCUGUCAAAAGCUAAAAGUGGUCUAAUAAAGUCUUGUGGAAUAAACAUA
Homo sapiens (human) is the source of this 1128-nucleotide long non-coding RNA. Ensembl annotates it as pleckstrin homology domain containing A8 pseudogene 1. Its record names the gene PLEKHA8P1. The record is from Ensembl. NCBI's taxonomy places the organism in Eukaryota, Metazoa, Chordata, Mammalia, Primates, Hominidae.